RNAcentral lists this ribosomal RNA (330 nucleotides) under uncultured bacterium. RNAcentral describes it as "bacterial SSU rRNA". It matches the Rfam family "Bacterial small subunit ribosomal RNA", at positions 28 to 360 of the family's 1533-position model. The record is from RNAcentral.
AUUGAACGCUGGCGGCAUGCUUUACACAUGCAAGUCGAGCGGCAGCGCGGGGGCAACCCUGGCGGCGAGCGGCGAACGGGUGAGUAAUGCAUCGGAACGUGUCCCGUGGUGGGGAUAACCCGGCGAAAGCCGGGCUAAUACCGCAUAUGCUCUGAGGAGGAAAGUGGGGACCCGCAAGGGCCUCACGCCAUGGGAGCGGCCGAUGUCCGAUUAGCUUGGUUGGUGGGGUAANGGCUUACCAAGGCGACGAUCGGUAGCUGGUCUGAGAGGAUGAUCAGCCACACUGGGACUGAGACACGGCCCAGACUCCUACGGGAGCAGCAGUGGGAA